ACUCAAAUGAAUAGACGGGGAGGCACACAACCAGUGGAACAUGUGGUUCAAUUGGAUACGAACCCAAGAACCUCACCAGGGUUUGACAUGCUAGAGUUCUAUUUCGAUGAAAGUCGGAAGAUGCGCAAGCAGGCUAGCACAGGUGCUGCAUGGCUGUCGUCAGCUCGUACCGUGAGGUGUACCCUUAAGUGGGACAACGAGCGCAACCCCUAUCUUGUGUUAGAUAUGUCACAAGAGACUGCUUUGCCUUUGGCGAAGAGGAAGGAGGGGCAGACGUCAAGUCAGCAUGGUCCUUAUACCCUGGGCCACACACAUGUUACAAUGAGGAAGACAAUGAGCUUAGCAAGCCAGCAAUGGCAAGCAAAUCUCUUAAACUUUCUCUCAGUAGGGAUUGAGGUCUGCAACUCGACCUCAUGAACACGGAAUUGGUAGUAAUCGCAGGUCAGCUAUACUGCGGUGAAUACGUUCUUGCCUCUUGCACACACCGCCCGU
This 492-nucleotide ribosomal RNA is filed under the name uncultured bacterium. Its description in RNAcentral is "partial 16S ribosomal RNA". It matches the Rfam family "Bacterial small subunit ribosomal RNA", at positions 899 to 1397 of the family's 1533-position model. The record is from RNAcentral.